GAUGAACGCUGGCUACAGGCUUAACACAUGCAAGUCGAGGGGAAACGACGGGGAAGCUUGCUUCCCCGGGCGUCGACCGGCGCACGGGUGAGUAACGCGUAUCCAACCUGCCUCUGACUGAGGGAUAACCCGUCGAAAGUCGGCCUAAUACCUCAUGGUAUCGUCUGCGGGCAUCCAACGACGAUUAAAGAUUUCAUCGGUCAGGGAUGGGGAUGCGUCUGAUUAGCUUAUUGGCGGGGUAACGGCCCACCAAGGCUACGAUCAGUAGGGGUUCUGAGAGGAAGGUCCCCCACAUUGGAACUGAGACACGGUCCAAACUCCUACGGGAGGCAGCAGUGAGGAAUAUUGAUCAAUGGGCGAGAGCCUGAACCAGCCAAGUAGCGUGCAGGAAGACGGCCCUAUGGGUUGUAAACUGCUUUUAUGCGGGGAUAAAGUGAGGGACGUGUCCCUCAUUGCAGGUACCGCAUGAAUAAGGACCGGCUAAUUCCGUG
This 491-nucleotide ribosomal RNA is filed under the name uncultured bacterium. RNAcentral's name for it is "partial 16S ribosomal RNA". It matches the Rfam family "Bacterial small subunit ribosomal RNA", at positions 28 to 507 of the family's 1533-position model. The record is from RNAcentral.